CUGAUAGAGCAGGGGAUACACCCGUAUCCAUCCCGAACACGGAAGUUAAGCCCUGCAUCGCCGAUGGUACUGCACGGUUCGCCGUGUGGGAGAGCAGGACA
RNAcentral lists this ribosomal RNA (101 nucleotides) under Leptospiraceae bacterium. Lineage: Bacteria; Pseudomonadati; Spirochaetota; Leptospiria; Leptospirales; Leptospiraceae. The record is from RNAcentral.